GCCUUAGACCGAGUUCGGGUUAUUUUCUGGCCAGGAUUCUACCUUCUGUGAGCCUGAGGAUCCGUCAUCUGCGCACUCCAGUGGCCCAGCGGCCGCCCAGCUCCAGCUUCGGGGACGUUCUGGGCCUGGAUUGCAUCCGAGGGUGAUUGCGCCCACUUCCAGGGAGCAGGUUUUACCAGUGUCUGUUCUGGUCAGUGGAGUGCUGUUCUGGUCAGGAUGGUGAGGAGUAAUGAGGAUAAUGCAGGUAACACUGUCUAAAAGCACAUCACACCCUCAAGAAGGAACCUAGCAUUAACUCAGUGUUAAUACAGGUAACAACUCACAAGGAUCUGAAAACAUAACAUGAGGAAAAUCGCAGAAAAGAUCACGACCAACUAGAGUCCAUGUUUAAAAGCUGUAAACAAAGCCUUUGCCUGGCCAGAAAACGAAAGUAGUACACUGCAGGCUGGACAAUAACUUUAUAGCUCAAAAGCAGUGGUGAUUACAUCACAGUUGCCACAAUUCACAGAAGUGUAAUCUAAAGGUAUAUAAAGUUUAUUCUGCUCAAACUGUAAGUAAAAUAAUGUCCUCAAAAGUUGGCCGAAGUAGGGUGUCUGUUUUGGGGGAGAAGCUGCUGCUAGGGGGUAGGUGACUGAGAGACAAGCUGAUAGGAAAAAAAUAUUUACUGCUUAGGAAAUUUACAUGAGCCUUAAAAGCAUCCUUCUCAGAACUAAGUCCUCUAAGAGUAGAUUCACUCCAACAAUAGAAAGAAAAUAUCCUAAA
Molecule: long non-coding RNA, 762 nt
Filed under: Mus musculus (house mouse)
Lineage: Eukaryota; Metazoa; Chordata; Mammalia; Rodentia; Muridae
Description: predicted gene 3363
Source: RNAcentral